GCCAGACUCCUACGGGAGGCAGCAGUGGGGAAUAUUGCACAAUGGGCGCAAGCCUGAUGCAGCCACGCCGCGUGUAUGAAGAAGGCCUUCGGGUUGUAAAGUACUUUCAGCGGGGAGGAAGGUGUUGAGGUUAAUCAAAACAGCAAUUGACAUUACCCGCAGAAGAACACCCGGCUCAAACCAUGCCAGCAGCCGCGGUAAUACGGAGGGUGCAAGCGUUAAUCGGAAUUACUGGGCGUAAAGCGCACGCAGGCGGUCUGUCAAGUCGGAUGUGAAAUCCCCGGGUGCAACCUGGGAACUGCAUUCGAAACUGGCAGGCUGGAGUCUUGUAGAGGGGGGUAGAAUUCCAGGUGUAGCGGUGAAAUGCGUAG
This 371-nucleotide ribosomal RNA is filed under the name uncultured bacterium. RNAcentral describes it as "bacterial SSU rRNA". It matches the Rfam family "Bacterial small subunit ribosomal RNA", at positions 330 to 693 of the family's 1533-position model. The record is from RNAcentral.